CGGUGGUUGGAUCCCUGCUAGGGCAGCGACAAUGUACCUUGCUCGCCACUUCAAUCGUUGGCAUAGGCGCACUGAGCCUUUGUAGGAUGAUGUUUUCCUGUGUUAUAUUCCAUUGAAAAGGGGCAUUGAAUUUGUUCAAUUGCAUCAGUUCGCUUCUCGUUGUGUCCCCUCGGAUUUUGGCAUGCAGUGAACUUUAAAGCUUUUAUCGUGUUCCACUUUCCUUGCAUGCAUGUGCAUGGUUGGUGGGCCACGGUCCUUGCUCGAUCUCUCGGUUGCGGAAUACCUUGUGGGCACGAGGCCACUGGUCCUCUAUUCGGCCCUUAUCGAGCGUUUAACGCUAUGUUCAAACGACAGUUGUGGUCGUCUUGACUAGGUCUUUUACGACUUGGCCAUGCGGUCCCAACGUCGAUGAGGAAUG
RNAcentral lists this unclassified non-coding RNA (418 nucleotides) under Drymonia pulchra. RNAcentral describes it as "partial external transcribed spacer". The record is from RNAcentral. Lineage: Eukaryota; Viridiplantae; Streptophyta; Magnoliopsida; Lamiales; Gesneriaceae.